Molecule: ribosomal RNA, 253 nt
Filed under: uncultured bacterium
Lineage: Bacteria
Description: partial 16S ribosomal RNA
Rfam family: Bacterial small subunit ribosomal RNA
Source: RNAcentral
UACGUAGGGUGCGAGCGUUGUCCGGAAUUAUUGGGCGUAAAGAGCUCGUAGGCGGUUUGUUGCGUCGGCUGUGAAAUCCCGAGGCUCAACCUCGGGUCUGCAGUCGAUACGAGCAAACUAGAGUGUUGCAGGGGAGACUGGAAUUCCUGGUGUAGCGGUGAAAUGCGCAGAUAUCAGGAAGAACACCCGUGGCGAAGGCGGCUCUCUGGGACGGUACUGACGCUGAGACGCGAAAGCGUGGGGAGCGAACAGG